GAUUCUUGUAUUUGGCUUUACUGUUUUGCGUUAUUUGCUGAUGCUGUUUUCUCUUCUAGUUUGGUCUAUACCCCAGCUUAACCUGACAGAUUGGUCAGACAAGUGACUGUCAGAGAAGUUUUGCUAACUACAGAGAAUUCUGCUUCUCUGCGAUGGAAAGAUGGUCCAAGACGUGGAGAAGGUUGAGACUGAGAGAGGAGAAGGUACUGAAGACAGACUAAGGAUUGAGUGAGAUCGUGUAUAAAACACCUGUCACGUCGGGUAUACAGGUGGCAUGAACAACUUCAUGUGAGACAAGUUCUGUAUUUUUCAUCUGGGCAAAUCAGCAAACCAAACAAACUCAUUGGAUAUGCUCUUCAAGGACCUCAUUUUUUCUCUCGGAGAACCUCUCCCCUCCAUUUUCAGCCUAUGUGGUUUGACUAAAGCUGACCCCAAUUCUACGACUCCAGGGACCAGACCAAUCGGAGACCACCCCCCUUCGGCCACUUGGAGUGGUCAGGAAUGGACAGGUCUAACAAAGACCAAUAAGCCACAGUUCCAGAAUGUCUGUUAGAUUGUGAAAGAGAAGCUCUCUUUAACUGGGGCUUUUAGAAAGCAUCUUGUCACUCUAAGGGGAGAAUCCAAAUGAGAAAGAAGACAGCACAGAAGAAAGUAGAACAAAGGUAUUAAAAGUGAUUGAUUCUAAUUACAUUGUCUGAGCAUAUUGACCCAGCAAUACUUGAACAAUAAACCCCAGGAUUUUGGGGGUAUCUGAGUCA
This 758-nucleotide long non-coding RNA is filed under the name Felis catus (domestic cat). RNAcentral describes it as "lncRNA (ENSFCAG00000053572.1)". Lineage: Eukaryota; Metazoa; Chordata; Mammalia; Carnivora; Felidae. The record is from RNAcentral.